AUUUCACUGAAGAUCUUGAUCUGUCGUUAUCAUCUUUUACCUUUGAGCUUGGUCGAUCUUGUUCCUGUCUGCUAUCAAGUGACACUUCAGCUGUGCAGUCCUUCACUUCCUGCUCCUUCGUAUCAACAUUCUCAUUCAGCAUAUCAGUUCUCUGCUCCCCAAUGGCAUGCUCAGAUGACUGCGACACAUCUUGAUUACCAUCUCUCAUGUAACUUGAAUCCGGAGAAACACCUUGCUCCUUUUCCAUACAGGUAUCUGUAACUUCUAGCCCCAUCAACCUCUUUGAGAAA
RNAcentral lists this unclassified non-coding RNA (290 nucleotides) under Hevea brasiliensis (rubber tree). Lineage: Eukaryota; Viridiplantae; Streptophyta; Magnoliopsida; Malpighiales; Euphorbiaceae. The record is from RNAcentral.